CAAUAAGCGGAGGAAAAGAAACUAACAAGGAUUCCCCUAGUAACUGCGAGUGAAGCGGGAAAAGCUCAAAUUUAAAAUCUGGCGGUCUUUGGCCGUCCGAGUUGUAGUCUGGAGAAGUGCUUUCCGCGCUGGACCGUGUAUAAGUCUCUUGGAACAGAGCGUCAUAGAGGGUGAGAAUCCCGUCUUUGACACGGACUACCAGUGCUUUGUGAUGCGCUCUCGAAGAGUCGAGUUGUUUGGGAAUGCAGCUCAAAAUGGGUGGUAAAUUCCAUCUAAAGCUAAAUAUUGGCGAGAGACCGAUAGCGAACAAGUACCGUGAGGGAAAGAUGAAAAGCACUUUGGAAAGAGAGUUAAACAGUACGUGAAAUUGCUGAAAGGGAAACGCUUGAAGUCAGUCGCGUCUGCCGGAACUCAGCCUUGCUUUUGCUUGGUGCAUUUUCCGGUAGACGGGCCAGCAUCGAUUUUGACCGUCGGAAAAGGGCUAGAGAAAUGUGGCACCUUCGGGUGUGUUAUAGUCUCUGGUCGCAUACGGCGGUUGGGAUCGAGGAACGCAGCGCGCCGCAAGGCAGGGGUUCGCCCACUUUCGCGCUUAGGAUGCUGGCGUAAUGGCUUUAAACGACCCGUCUUGAAACACGGACCAAGGAGUCUAACAUGCCUGCGAGUGUUUGGGUGGUAAACCCGAGCGCGUAAUGAAAGUGAAAGUUGAGACCUCUGUCGUGGAGGGCAUCGACGCCCGGACCUGACGUUCUCUGACGGAUCCGCGGUAGAGCAUGUAUGUUGGGACCCGAAAGAUGGUGAACUAUGCCUGAAUAGGGUGAAGCCAGAGGAAACUCUGGUGGAGGCUCGUAGCGAUUCUGACGUGCAAAUCGAUCGUCAAAUUUGGGUAUAGGGGCGAAAGACUAAUCGAACCAUCUAGUAGCUGGUUCCUGC
Molecule: ribosomal RNA, 930 nt
Filed under: Coriolopsis sanguinaria
Lineage: Eukaryota; Fungi; Basidiomycota; Agaricomycetes; Polyporales; Polyporaceae
Description: eukaryotic LSU rRNA
Rfam family: Eukaryotic large subunit ribosomal RNA
Source: RNAcentral